AACGAACGCUGGCGGCAUGCCUAACACAUGCAAGUCGAACGAGACCUUCGGGCUUAGUGGCGCACGGGUGCGUAACGCGUGGGAACCUGCCCUUAGGUUCGGAAUAACUCCCCGAAAGGGGUGCUAAUACCGGAUAAUGUCUUCGGACCAAAGAUUUAUCGCCUUUGGAUGGGCCCGCGUUGGAUUAGCUAGUUGGUAGGGUAAAAGCCUACCAAGGCGACGUUCCAUAGCUGGUCUGAGAGGAUGAUCAGCCACACUGGGACUGAGACACGGCCCAGACUCCUACGGAAGGCAGGAGUGGGGAAUAUUGGACAAUGGACGAAAGCCUGAUCCAGCAAUGCCGGGUAAGUGAUGAAGGCCUUAGGGUUGUGAAGCUCUUUUACCCGGGAUGAUAAUGACAGUACCGGGAGAAUAAGCUCCGGCUAACUCCGUG
This 433-nucleotide ribosomal RNA is filed under the name uncultured bacterium. Its description in RNAcentral is "partial 16S ribosomal RNA". It matches the Rfam family "Bacterial small subunit ribosomal RNA", at positions 29 to 507 of the family's 1533-position model. The record is from RNAcentral.